UCCAGACUCCUACGGGAGGCAGCAGUGGGGGAUAUUGCACAAUGGGGGGAACCCUGAUGCAGCGACGCCGCGUGAGUGAAGAAGUAAUUCGUUAUGUAAAGCUCUAUCAGCAGGGAAGAAUAAAUGACGGUACCUGAGUAAGAAGCCCCGGCUAACUACGUGCCAGCAGCCGCGGUAAUACGGAGGAUGCGAGCGUUAUCCGGAUUUAUUGGGUUUAAAGGGUGCGCAGGCGGAGGUGCAAGUCAGUGGUCAAAUUGCGGGGCUCAACCCCGUACUGCCGUUGAAACUGCAUCCCUUGAGUGCGCGAGAAGUAUGCGGAAUGCGUGGUGUAGCGGUGAAAUGCAUAGAUAUCACGCAGAACUCCGAUUGCGAAGGCAGCAUACCGGCGCGCAACUGACGCUCAUGCACGAAAGCGUGGGGAUCGAACAGGAUUAGAUACCCGGGUAUCA
Molecule: ribosomal RNA, 449 nt
Filed under: uncultured bacterium
Lineage: Bacteria
Description: bacterial SSU rRNA
Rfam family: Bacterial small subunit ribosomal RNA
Source: RNAcentral